CGGGUAUUAGCGCAGCUGGUAGCGCACUAGCUUCGGGAGUUAGGGGUCGGCGGUUCGAAUCCGCCAUACCCGA
This is a non-coding RNA of Treponema berlinense, 73 nucleotides long. NCBI's taxonomy places the organism in Bacteria, Pseudomonadati, Spirochaetota, Spirochaetia, Treponematales, Treponemataceae. The record is from Rfam.